CUUAUUUCUUGCGGUCUUUGGGCUAGUUUCCAACUUGUCUGAGUGCAGCUGCUGCAAGGGAAGAUUGUGGGUCCAUGUGCAAUGUUCUCCUAUUCUUUGUUGCUAAUGCAGUUUGUCUUUUCUCUUUCCUUUGUCAAAGUGAAAGCUUAUUUCAGGUUCCUCUGCUUCUAGCAUUGGCCUCAACUGAACAUGCUGGCAAAAUACCUGUAGUGGAAAUGCUAAGUCAGAGCUUGAACCAGUGAUUGAGCACCUGGUGGGAAGGCAGGGCCAACCAAGGGGAGCUCAGGUGCAUGCAAUGUAACUGAGUGACCAGAAGGGAUGGAGCCAGGAUCCACCCCUUCCUAGACAUCACACAAGUGUUGGCAGUGGAGGCAAGCAAGGACUUCUGAAGCCCACAAGCUUCAUAGAUCUGAAAAAAGGAGCAGUCACUUUCCAGAGAAGAGAACCUGGAAGACCCGGCUGCUGCUGGGACAACCUCUGCUUGCUCCUUGUAACCACCAUGAGAAACUCUGCAGGCAGCUGCAAGGGGAUGUUAUCCUGUGCUACCGUGACCACCAGCAUUUGGGGAGAUGGAAGCUGCAUUUAAGGAUUCUGCCAGGCAAAAGAGAGAAGUGACCCUGGACCCUUCAGUUCAUAGAGAGCUGGUUGGCACUUACUUUGGUUGGCCCAAAGGAAAUACAAUCAAGUGUGUGUGAAAGAGCAAGCACUGGGUCACAGCUCCGAGAGCAGCAGUAAGAAGCACUCUUUCUCUGCAAAGCAAGGGGCUUAUGGGCAAAACACAGCCAUUCUCAGACAGCUCAAUGAAACACACACAACCUGAACAAAAACAGCAGCACCAUGACUUUUCCUUGUCACAGCUCAAAGGAGGAAGCAACUGCAUCUGCUACCCAGACUGCACGCUGCUAUUUCCAGGUGUGUUUUCCCCCUGCCAAACCUGCAGCAUAGGAAGCAAGCCCUGCCUGUUGCAUGGCUGGCUAAUCUCCUAUCAUUCAUUCUUCCAUUCAGCAAUGUAGCAUUGUGUGUUCUGUGUUUGGUAUUGCUGAAAUAAAGAGCAUAACUUGAGACAGAGUACAUAUGCCUGAAGAUUUUCUAGAAAGCAUAAACCUGAAGAAGAGAACAAAUUUUGCAUUGUGACCUUUAUUUUGAACUUCUUUACUUUCUUGCAGUGUGGGACAGGGACUUGAUUUUGUCCAGGACAACAGCAAUAACUUUUUUUCUUAGAGACUG
Gallus gallus (chicken) is the source of this 1227-nucleotide long non-coding RNA. The record is from Ensembl. NCBI's taxonomy places the organism in Eukaryota, Metazoa, Chordata, Aves, Galliformes, Phasianidae.